UUCGAUGGCGACCGGCGCACGGGUGAGUAACACGUAUCCAACCUGCCGAUGACUCGGGGAUAGCCUUUCGAAAGAAAGAUUAAUACCCGAUGGCAUAGUUCUUCCGCAUGGUAGAACUAUUAAAGAAUUUCGGUCAUCGAUGGGGAUGCGUUCCAUUAGGUUGUUGGCGGGGUAACGGCCCACCAAGCCUUCGAUGGAUAGGGGUUCUGAGAGGAAGGUCCCCCACAUUGGAACUGAGACACGGUCCAA
RNAcentral lists this ribosomal RNA (249 nucleotides) under uncultured bacterium. RNAcentral describes it as "partial 16S ribosomal RNA". It matches the Rfam family "Bacterial small subunit ribosomal RNA", at positions 84 to 334 of the family's 1533-position model. The record is from RNAcentral.